UGUGUGUAAAAAAGUCCAUUUGGGUCAUUC
This 30-nucleotide non-coding RNA is filed under the name Rattus norvegicus (Norway rat). The record is from RNAcentral. Lineage: Eukaryota; Metazoa; Chordata; Mammalia; Rodentia; Muridae.